Molecule: long non-coding RNA, 1374 nt
Filed under: Scleropages formosus (Asian bonytongue)
Lineage: Eukaryota; Metazoa; Chordata; Actinopteri; Osteoglossiformes; Osteoglossidae
Description: lncRNA (ENSSFOG00015033069.1)
Source: RNAcentral
CUGAACCAUUCAUACUGAAUUAGAUUUGUGCAUUAAACUUAUCUCCUGCUUUAAUGUUUUAAUUUAAAAUAUCAACACUACAAUUCUUGAAAUACUGCAAAAAAUAUUGAUAUUUUGUUUCUUUCUCAUUUUAAGGUUUUAGACUUAGUUAUGCUUAAGAAAUUACAGUUUUCUGACUGUAAAUAAUGCGAAGGUGACUCGCAAUAACACUGUCCAAAAAGAGGAAACAGAAAUGAAAUGGGCGUGUAGGGAAAGCAGAAGGAGAGGUGAGGAAUGUUUGCCCCCCGGGCCAGAUUUUCACUCGCCUCGCUAACUGUUUCACACGUUCACCUGCAGUAGCGUUCGAUAUUCUUCCGAUCGAUGAGCGAAAAGGCACAAAGGCAGAACCAGACGGACCUCCGACGCGGCCCCUCCACACACUGGCUCACACGCACAGCCGCACACACUCCACCCAAACCCGCGACCCACCCCCUCCACCCCAGGUCCGCCGACGAGCACAGAGCAAGGGUUACCUCAAGGGUUAGCUCAAGGCUGCUCCCUGGACCGUGCAAAGUGGUCUGGACCGCUGACCUGCUGGACGACUUCCCGCGGAUGGCCGGGUGAGCGCCGCUGUCGCGACGACGAGGAAUCCAGGAGCAGCACCUCUUCUCGAUGGGGGAGCGGUAAGGAGGGAGGGGGAGAGAAGGCGACCGCUUCCAUGGUUACGGGCCAGGAACGGGGACCCCGCUAUUGAGGACUCUCCGUUCUCAUGCCCCUGGCUGGGGCAGCGUGACGUUGCGCAGGCCGUGGCGGCUCCGGAUGGUUCUCCCCCCGCAAAGCGGAGCUGCUCUUUCAGAGCGAAAGCCAAGCCACGGCACACCGCCGUUUGCAGGAAGGAGAGAAGCAGGGGAGACGGAGGGGGGCGCCGAAUGAAGAGUGCACAUCACAUGAUCCUCGUGAAAGCAGCUUCUUAUUUCACAUGUGGAGUGAAAACUAGCCUUCAGAUGACACCAUUGCAAGAAAAUUACAACUUGCGGACAGUAGACGGCUUUGGCCAAUCAAAAGCGGCCUUGAGGAUCGGAGCUGCGCUGCACCACACCGUGCCACACCACACCGCAGUGCGCCGCCGACACCGGGCACCGCCACCGCCACACCCAGAAGCCCCUGGCGUUCGGAACCUGGCGACCAUCACUAUACAAACCCGACGAUGCAAUCUUCUCCAUCUUCUCCCUGGCACUGCGGUGUGGACCGGCGCAGCGCGGUGUGGUGACAGUCACCAUGAAAACAACUCUCACAGGAAGGAGAAACAUAUGUCAUCACACAACUCCAUGAAAUUCAAAAGAUGAACAGUUUAUUCUCACAGAAUAAAAAAAAUAGCUUCUAUUGAUAUUUCCA